GGGAGGGAGGGGGAGGAGAUGUCUGUACAGUGCUCUCGUUUCCUCUUUGUAAUCUGGAGAGCGCGGGGUAGCCGAAGCUUGAGGAAGGGAGGCAGGAAAGAAAGCAGAGAGAUGCGCCCGGGGGACAGCAGCAGCCCUGGUGGCCUCUGCCACUCAACCUUGUGACUUUUUCCCCAGGCGGCAGGACGACGUCCCGGGCCCGUCACAUGCAGGAAACAGCUGCUGCAGUGCGGGUCUGGCGGGUGUAUCGCCUCGGCCUCCCUCUCCUCUCGGCCAGCCCCGUCCUGGGGCACGGUGCCCCCGGGGCCCAGGAAGAGAGCGGACUCUUUGGCUGGGCAAGAGGAGCUGCAAACUCUUAAGACCGCCGAGGGCAGGUGGGAGUGGAUUGACAGGGGAAGGGUGAUGGAGAGAGAGUGGGCCGUUCCCGACCUAUCCCUCCCGGAGAGCCACUUGCUUUUUCUCCAUCCCGUUUCACCAUCUUCUCUUCCCUACCGGCCCGUAGCUUGCUGGCCCAGGGGAGGAGGGACAGCACGCCCUGGAGAGAUGGCCGCAGCCAGCGUUCUAUACAAACAGCUGCCCAGCCAGGGUUAGAAUCUGGGCCGUCGCGGGUUUGGGAGCGCGUGUGUGCAUGUAUGCACUUUGCUGACUCUCAGAGGGAGGUCUGAUUGCACAGACUGUACCAGGCCAUCUAUUUAUAGCAGGCCAGCCAAGAGUGGGGCACAGUUAUUAAGGCCCGGUCUGCACCCUCUUCCCUUCUCAGCAACGACAUAACUAUCAGGCUGUGGGAUACCUCUGCUCUGUUCUUCGCCUUCCCAAUACGCUUUGGCCUUUUCUUUACCACUCCUCCCACCCCCUUCAUGGAAAUCGGGCCAGGCGGUAUGGUAAACCCUCCCAAACAGGAGAAUGAGACAAAUCACAGAAACCUGUUAUCUAAAGAGGUGCUGAAGAGGGAACCAAAUGGAUGUGUCUUAUGCUGCUGGAGUGAACAGAGACGGAUACGUCCUGGAUGAAGAUAAGGGAGGUGGAACUUCAGUCAAGUUCAUGGAACAUCUUAUAGUCCAGUUUGGAACAUGGAUAACAUGAAGAGGAAUAAUGUAAAAUUCACUGGAAAGUAGGGAAAUCAGAUAAUCACUGAAGAGUUGAAACGUUCCUCAGCAGUCAUAGUCUUCCCCUACUUGACUAAGAAUCCCCUCUAUAUAUUUGACAAGAGGUCAUCUAGCCUUUGUUUGAAGACUUCCACUGAGAGAAAACUUCAUUAUCUCCUGAGACAACUCAUUCCACUUUUGGACUGUUCUAAUUAUUGUGAAGUUUUUCCUUCCUAAAUUUGCUUCUCUGCAACUUCCAAGCAAGAAUUCUUCCAACAAGAAUUUAUUGAGUGUCUCCUAUGUGCCAAACACUGUGCACUGGGGAUAUAAAGAAAAACAAAAACCAUUCUUAUCCAGCAUGAGCUAGAAGCCAUUUACCACCCUAAUCGGCCCCCUCUAGACAGGGCCAUUUGUGUCCUUCCUAUGUCCACUGGAGAAUAAAUGAAAGUAUUGUCAACUUGUAUUUUACUCUUUUUUACCUUAGAAACAUCUUGUUUUAAACAAACUGUUUAGCUGCACAAGACUUGCUUUAGAGAAGUAUGGAAGAAGGAAAAUGUAGAUAAACACGAAAGCAAACAGCCCUUCAAUGCCUUAUUUUAUUAAACUCAAGGAAUUAGUUAGCCUUGAAAGACAACAGUCUAAAUGUGGACAGGAGAGACUCUCAGCAAUCAUAUUGAAUUCAAAUACUAGGGAUUUUUUUUUCCUAGUUCUACCUUUAUUCUUUUUGUUUGUUGACUUUUAAUCCGUAGGAACUUUUUAUCAGUAGUUAUUCCUCUUAUCAGAUAAGAGUAUCCUUUAAGUAUACUUCUAUAAUUUGUGCUUUCUUCUCAUAUCAGAAUGUAAGCUCUCUGAGGGCAAAGACUUUUGCUUUUGUAUUUGUGCUCCAUUGUUCAGCAAAGUGCUUGACAGAUAAUAAGCAUUUCUGGGCUUUUGCUUAAUCCAUUCAUUAUAUCCCAGACAGGUUAAACAUGCAUAUGAUUAGUCAACCUGUUUUGUUUUUAGAAUCACAAUUAGUAGGGUUUUAUGACCCUUCUAGUCUAACCUAUACCAGAAUAAUUGCCUGUAAUAGCUAGCAUUUAUAUAGCACCUACGACCACUGUGCUAAGUGCUUUACAAUUAGUUAUUUCAGUUGUUCACAACCCUAGAAGGGAGGUACUAUUAUUAUCCUCUUUUCACAGAUGAGGAAAUGGAGGCAGAGGUCAAGUGACUUCUUCAAGGUCACAAUGCUAGUGUAUGAGGCUGCAUUUGAACUCGGGUCUUCUUAACCUGGAAGCCCAGCCUGGGUACCAGCUAGCUACAACCCACCCUCCAAGUAAUCAUACAGCUUUUGCUUAAAGAGGAAUUGUACCAUGUUGCCUCACCUGAAGACAAGUGGUGUGGCAUUUGAACUCAGGAUCUUCUUCUCGGACAGGUUAAACCUAUUUCUGGAGUGGCAAAGAAUUGGAAAUUGAGGAGAUGCCCAUCAAUAAG
This is a non-coding RNA of Phascolarctos cinereus (koala), 2555 nucleotides long. The record is from RefSeq and is a predicted model, not a curated record. NCBI's taxonomy places the organism in Eukaryota, Metazoa, Chordata, Mammalia, Diprotodontia, Phascolarctidae.